This is a long non-coding RNA of Suricata suricatta (meerkat), 389 nucleotides long. RefSeq lists it as uncharacterized. The transcript is spliced from 3 exons. The record is from RefSeq and is a predicted model, not a curated record. Lineage: Eukaryota; Metazoa; Chordata; Mammalia; Carnivora; Herpestidae.
CUCAGCGGGGGAAGAACAGAGCGCCGUGCAGACAGAGGCUGGGCCAUCGCGAGUAACCCCGCACUGAAGCAGCAGAAUCAGCAAAGUCCAAGGACCUCCCACCUCUCAAGAACCUGCCUAGGCAGACCCUGCUGAGGAUUUUUGCUUCUGCCUGGAACACCUACUAACUCACAAUCUAUCCCUCAAGGCUUGGCGGGAAGCCUUUCCUCCAUGAUGCUUCUCUUGCCCCCUCGUGUUGCCCUGCUCACAUCUGCUGCCCCGGGUGUCUUUUGAGGGAUAUCAGACACACAGAACACCAGAAGGUCUGAGUUUGGUGGUGAGUUCCUGGACUGGGUAUGCAAGCUCUUCCUAAGUAGGAACCGUCCGACUCACGUCCUGGAAGAGGCUGA